GCCGGGCGUGGUGGCGGGUGCCUGUAGUCCCAGCUACUCGGGAGGCUGAGACAGGAGAAUCGCUUGAACCCGGGAAGUGGAGGUUGCAGUGAGCCGAGAUCGCUCCACUGCACUCCAGCCUGGGUGACACAGUGAGACUCUGUCUCAC
This is a non-coding RNA of Homo sapiens (human), 148 nucleotides long. It matches the Rfam family "Metazoan signal recognition particle RNA". From Rfam's summary of the family: The signal recognition particle (SRP) is a universally conserved ribonucleoprotein. NCBI's taxonomy places the organism in Eukaryota, Metazoa, Chordata, Mammalia, Primates, Hominidae. The record is from Rfam.